GGUUCGGUGGCGCAGUGGUAGCGCAGCAGAUUGCAGAUCUGACGGUCACGUGUUCGAUCCACGUUCGGACCU
This is a non-coding RNA of Truncatella angustata, 72 nucleotides long. The record is from the annotation of a RefSeq genome assembly. Lineage: Eukaryota; Fungi; Ascomycota; Sordariomycetes; Amphisphaeriales; Sporocadaceae.